RNAcentral lists this ribosomal RNA (120 nucleotides) under Escherichia coli. Its description in RNAcentral is "partial 16S ribosomal RNA". It matches the Rfam family "Bacterial small subunit ribosomal RNA", at positions 1 to 113 of the family's 1533-position model. The record is from RNAcentral. RNAcentral also lists the same sequence under 2 other names. Lineage: Bacteria; Pseudomonadati; Pseudomonadota; Gammaproteobacteria; Enterobacterales; Enterobacteriaceae.
AAAUUGAAGAGUUUGAUCAUGGCUCAGAUUGAACGCUGGCGGCAGGCCUAACACAUGCAAGUCGAACGGUAACAGGAAGAAGCUUGCUUCUUUGCUGACGAGUGGCGGACGGGUGAGUAA